UCCGUCAAGGAGGAGCCCUACAACCUCUCCGUCCUCGAGGUCUCCGACCCCAUCACCUUCCCCGGCCUCUUCACCUCCCCCUCCGCCGCCUCCACCAACCUCACCGCGCUCCUCGACAAGGCCGGCUGCAAGCGCUUCGCGCGCCUCAUCGUCUCGUCCGGGGUCGUCAAGACGUACCAGGCGGCCAUGGACAAGGGGCUCACCCUCUUCGCGCCCACCGACGACGCCUUCCAGGCCAAGGGCCUGCCGGAUCUGGGCAAGCUCACCGGCGCCGACCUCGUGGCGCUGCUGGAGUACCACGCGCUGCCGCAGUACGCGCCCAAGGCGUCGCUCAAGACCAUGAAGGGCGGCAUCCCGACCCUGGCCUCCACCGGCAAGGGCAAGUACGACCUCUCCGUGGUCGCCAAGGGCGACGACGUGUCCAUGGACACCGGCAUGGACAAGUCCCGCGUCGCGUCCACGGUGCUCGACGACACCCCGGUGACCGUGCACACGGUGGACAGCGUGCUGCUGCCGCCGGAGCUCUUCGGCGGCGCGCCGUCGCCGGCACCCGGAGCGUCGGCCGAUGCGCCAGCGUCGGCCCCUGCACCAGAAGCCUCCUCCGCGCCGGCGCCCUCGCCUAACCACGACAAGACGAAACCGAAACACAAGUCGCCAGCGCAUUCCCCGCCCGCGCCGCCGGCUGAUACGCCUGACACGGCCCCCGCCGAGUCGCCGGAGGGAGACGAGGAGGCGGACAAGGCCGACGACAAGAACGGCGCGACCGCGGUGAGCAUGGGCAUCGCGGCCAUGGUGGCCUCGGUCGCUCUGGUCGGCGCGACACUCCUCUGAUCUGCCCCAAGUGUUCGACAUCGAGCACUCGUUCUGUUUUCCUCAUGAUGUGAUGCACUCCGGUCGUGGUUGCGAGUUCGUCGGCCAUUGAAAUGCUCACACCCGAAGCUGUUACUUCUUCCUGGUUGGAUCAUUUGGGCGAUUGUGAUACCUUCCCUGGUACUGGUAGUUUCAGUAGCUGCGUAGUUACAAGUCUAUUGAGUUUGAUUUUGCUAUGAUGCUCGUUGCAGUUGUUGAUGCAUUGCAUUCCAUCUGCCAAGAACUCCAAUUCCAUAUCCUGACGCAGUUAUCUAGCAUUCUCGAUGAAGUAACUUGUGAAGAGAGACUUGAUCUUACUACGAGUUAAUUGAUGCAUUGGUUCGUUGUAUAUUAUCACCGUUUUUGCACAUUAAUUGAUGGAGUAGUACUGCACAUUGCACCA
RNAcentral lists this long non-coding RNA (1252 nucleotides) under Triticum aestivum (bread wheat). RNAcentral describes it as "long non-coding RNA (TAES_LNC021190)". Lineage: Eukaryota; Viridiplantae; Streptophyta; Magnoliopsida; Poales; Poaceae. The record is from RNAcentral.